This 616-nucleotide ribosomal RNA is filed under the name Trichoderma lixii. Its description in RNAcentral is "eukaryotic LSU rRNA". The stretch from base 249 to 402 matches the Rfam family "5.8S ribosomal RNA". The record is from RNAcentral. Lineage: Eukaryota; Fungi; Ascomycota; Sordariomycetes; Hypocreales; Hypocreaceae.
AAGUCGUAACAAGGUCUCCGUUGGUGAACCAGCGGAGGGAUCAUUACCGAGUUUACAACUCCCAAACCCAAUGUGAACGUUACCAAACUGUUGCCUCGGCGGGAUCUCUGCCCCGGGUGCGUCGCAGCCCCGGACCAAGGCGCCCGCCGGAGGACCAACCUAAAACUCUUAUUGUAUACCCCCUCGCGGGUUUUUUUAUAAUCUGAGCCUUCUCGGCGCCUCUCGUAGGCGUUUCGAAAAUGAAUCAAAACUUUCAACAACGGAUCUCUUGGUUCUGGCAUCGAUGAAGAACGCAGCGAAAUGCGAUAAGUAAUGUGAAUUGCAGAAUUCAGUGAAUCAUCGAAUCUUUGAACGCACAUUGCGCCCGCCAGUAUUCUGGCGGGCAUGCCUGUCCGAGCGUCAUUUCAACCCUCGAACCCCUCCGGGGGGUCGGCGUUGGGGAUCGGCCCUCCCUUAGCGGGUGGCCGUCUCCGAAAUACAGUGGCGGUCUCGCCGCAGCCUCUCCUGCGCAGUAGUUUGCACACUCGCAUCGGGAGCGCGGCGCGUCCACAGCCGUUAAACACCCAACUUCUGAAAUGUUGACCUCGGAUCAGGUAGGAAUACCCGCUGAACUUAA